Molecule: ribosomal RNA, 253 nt
Filed under: uncultured bacterium
Lineage: Bacteria
Description: partial 16S ribosomal RNA
Rfam family: Bacterial small subunit ribosomal RNA
Source: RNAcentral
UACAGAGGGUGCGAGCGUUAAUCGGAAUUACUGGGCGUAAAGCGUGCGCAGACGGUCAUGUAAGUCGGGUGUGAAAGCCCCGGGCUCAACCUGGGAAUUGCAUUCGAGACUGUGUGGCUAGGGUGCGGAAGAGGGAAGCGGAAUUUCCGGUGUAGCGGUGAAAUGCGUAGAUAUCGGAAAGAACAUCAGUGGCGAAGGCGACUUCCUGGACUGAUACUGACACUGAGGUGCGAAAGCGUGGGGAGCAAACAGG